AGAUAUCCAGAUUAAAUCUUCGAAGACCAUUUGGCUUAUUAGGUCCGAUGACCAUAUCAGCUUUAAAGCAGAGUAAAACUAAAAGGAAAACAAGAUUUGAUGGUGAAACUAUAUAAAUUUUCUUGCCAACGCCACUUACCUUUCCUUCAAUGAUGAUAAAUAUCGAUCCAGGCAAUCUUGAUGAACAGCAUGACCACAGGAGGACAGGUAAACACCAUCACAGUCAACUGGGCCAAAUCCAUCAUAUGCAAAAACCUGGGAAGUAGAUUCUGCCAUUGCAAUGUCAUCAAGAGCAUUUCCAGAAGAUGAAGGAUGCUCAAUUAUCUCUUUUGAAAAGGCAGCAAUGUAUUUUCCAAGCAAUACAGAAUCCGCACUCCUCCUGCUUUUCAUACCACUUUCAUCUGCCAAAAGUUCUACAUUCUUUACUCCAGAACUGGAAAGUACAAUAUUAUCAUUCAUUUCUUUCCGAAUGGACAUGUACAUAUCUUGUUCCAACGUCUCAAAGGUAUAUGCAGUUCUAUCAUUCCCAUUCUUCAACUAUGUUUUUUGUGACACAAUAGCACAUCAACAAUGCCAAAUCUUCAAAAGAAGUGGUAGUACCUGAUCUGGGUCAACAAUGUGUCCUCCUUCAAAAACAAUUCUCCUUACAUGUCUGUGUAAGCAGCAUAAGAACAUAUUUUAAACCUUUUAAUACACAAAAACCAAGCUCAUUCUAAAGGUUUCAAGAUCACAUUGUAUUGCAACUUGUUGAAGAAUGGAAAAAAGGGAGGUAAAGAAAAAUAGAGAGACAAAAAUGACAAUAUAGAGGCAUUCCUUUGAAACUUCAUGAACAACAUAAACUGGAUUCAAGACCUCAGAAACCUCAACAAAGGGCAAUGCAAUUCAGAAAUGCUUUGAGACAAUGGACUUGACAUCUGUUAAACAGGCGAUUUAACCAGGUAUUAGACCCACGUGUUUUAACUUGUUUUGGGUUGGACCAAAAGCAGACAAACAAAGGAGUCAGGCCUGACUUCUUUAAGUUCAGGAAGCAGAAGCAAGUUCCACCAAAGCAAUUGGGACAUUGUAAUCUCACUGCUUGAACAGUACAAGAUAAAUCCUUAAACUGCUUGUUCUUUUUGUUUUAUAUUCUCAAUAUCUAAGAAACACAUAUUUAUUUUAAUCCCCAGAUAUCCAGAUUAAAUCUUCGAAGACCAUUUGGCUUAUUAGGUCCGAUGACCAUAUCAGCUUUAAAGCAGAGUAAAACUAAAAGGAAAACAAGAUUUGAUGGUGAAACUAUAUAAAUUUUCUUGCCAACGCCACUUACCUUUCCUUCAAUGAUGAUAAAUAUCGAUCCAGGCAAUCUUGAUGAACAGCAUGACCACAGGAGGACAGGUAAACACCAUCACAGUCAACUGGGCCAAAUCCAUCAUAUGCAAAAACCUGGGAAGUAGAUUCUGCCAUUGCAAUGUCAUCAAGAGCAUUUCCAGAAGAUGAAGGAUGCUCAAUUAUCUCUUUUGAAAAGGCAGCAAUGUAUUUUCCAA
This 1520-nucleotide long non-coding RNA is filed under the name Jatropha curcas. RNAcentral describes it as "long non-coding RNA (JCUR_LNC001598)". The record is from RNAcentral. Lineage: Eukaryota; Viridiplantae; Streptophyta; Magnoliopsida; Malpighiales; Euphorbiaceae.